AAAGGGGCUUCGGCUCUGAGUAGAGUGGCGAACGGGUGAGUAACACGUGGGUGAUCUACCUUCGAGUGGGGGAUAACGUUCCGAAAGGAGCGCUAAGACCGCAUGACGUUCCGGGUUUGAAGACCUGGAAACCAAAGCCGGGGACCGCAAGGCCUGGCGCUAGAAGAGGAGCCCGCGCCUGAUUAGCUAGUUGGUGGGGUAAUGGCCUACCAAGGCGACGAUCGGUAGCUGGUCUGAGAGGAUGAUCAGCCACACUGGGACUGAGACACGGCCCAGACUCCUACGGGAGGCAGCAGUGGGGAAUUUUGGACAAUGGGCGCAAGCCUGAUCCAGCCAUGCCGCGUGAGUGAAGAAGGCCUUCGGG
This 364-nucleotide ribosomal RNA is filed under the name uncultured bacterium. Its description in RNAcentral is "bacterial SSU rRNA". It matches the Rfam family "Bacterial small subunit ribosomal RNA", at positions 71 to 422 of the family's 1533-position model. The record is from RNAcentral.